GACGAACGCUGGCGGCGUGCUUAACACAUGCAAGUCGAACGGAAAGGCCCUGCUUUUGUGGGGUGCUCGAGUGGCGAACGGGUGAGUAACACGUGAGUAACCUGCCCUUGACUUUGGGAUAACUUCAGGAAACUGGGGCUAAUACCGGAUAGGAGCUCCUGCUGCAUGGUGGGGGUUGGAAAGUUUCGGCGGUUGGGGAUGGACUCGCGGCUUAUCAGCUUGUUGGUGGGGUAGUGGCUUACCAAGGCUUUGACGGGUAGCCGGCCUGAGAGGGUGACCGGGCGCAUUGGGCAUGGGAUAAGGCCCAGAGUCCUACGGGAGGACGCAGGGGGGAGUAUUGCACAAUGGGCGCAAGCCGGAUGCAGCAGCGCCGCGUGUGGGAUGACGGCAUUCGGGUUGUAAACCGCAUUCGCCUGUGACGAAGCGUGAGUGACGGGGAUGGGUAAAUAAGCCCCGGCUAACUACGUG
This 468-nucleotide ribosomal RNA is filed under the name uncultured bacterium. RNAcentral's name for it is "partial 16S ribosomal RNA". It matches the Rfam family "Bacterial small subunit ribosomal RNA", at positions 28 to 507 of the family's 1533-position model. The record is from RNAcentral.